RNAcentral lists this ribosomal RNA (1114 nucleotides) under uncultured Aquicella sp. RNAcentral's name for it is "bacterial SSU rRNA". It matches the Rfam family "Bacterial small subunit ribosomal RNA", at positions 8 to 1114 of the family's 1533-position model. Lineage: Bacteria; Pseudomonadati; Pseudomonadota; Gammaproteobacteria; Legionellales; Coxiellaceae. The record is from RNAcentral.
AGAGUUUGAUCCUGGCUCAGAUUGAACGCUGGCGGCACGCCUAACACAUGCAAGUCGAGCGGUAACAUGGGAUGUAGCAAUACAUUCUGAUGACGAGCGGCGGACGGGUGAGGAACACGUAGGAACCUGCCCUCAAGCGGGGGAUAACCAGGGGAAACCUUGGCUAAUACCGCAUGACCUCGAGAGAGCAAAGCUACCCGCAAGGGCGGCACUUGGGGAGGGGCCUGCGUCCGAUUAGCUGGUUGGUGAGGUAAUGGCUCACCAAGGCGAUGAUCGGUAACUGGUCUGAGAGGACGACCAGUCACACUGGGACUGAGACACGGCCCAGACUCCUACGGGAGGCAGCAGUGGGGAAUAUUGGACAAUGGGGGCAACCCUGAUCCAGCGAUGCCGCGUGAGUGAAGAAGGCCUUCGGGUCGUAAAGCUCUUUAGGCCGGGAAGAAGAUGAUACGUUGCAUAGACGUGUCAUUUGACGGUACCGGCAGAAUAAGCACCGGCAAACUCUGUGCCAGCAGCCGCGGUAAUACUGAGGGUGCGAGCGUUAAUCGGAAUUACUGGGUGUAAAGGGCGCGUAGGCGGCAAGAUAUGUGUGGUGUGAAAGCCCCGGGCUUAACCUGGGAAGUGCAUCGCAAACUGUCUGGCUGGAGUACAUGAGAGGGUGGCGGAAUUUCCGGUGUAGCGGUGAAAUGCGUAGAGAUCGGAAGGAACGUCAAUGGCGAAGGCAGCCACCUGGCAUGAUACUGACGCUGAGGCGCGAAAGCGUGGGGAGCGAACAGGAUUAGAUACCCUGGUAGUCCACGCCGUAAACGAUGAGGACUGGAUGUUGGCAGGGGAACCUGUCAGUAUCGAAGCUAACGCGAUAAGUCUUCCACCUGGGAAGUACGGCCGCAAGGUUGAAACUCAAAUGAAUUGACGGGGGCCCGCACAAGCGGUGGAGCAUGCGGUUUAAUUCGAUGCAACGCGAAGAACCUUACCUACCCUUGACAUCCUGCGAAUCCUGUAGAGAUACGGGAGUGCCGAAAGGAGCGCAGAGACAGGUGCUGCAUGGCUGUCGUCAGCUCGUGUUGUGAGAUGUUGGGUUAAGUCCCGUAACGAGUCGUAACAAGGUAACCGU